Molecule: long non-coding RNA, 959 nt
Filed under: Nicotiana tabacum (common tobacco)
Lineage: Eukaryota; Viridiplantae; Streptophyta; Magnoliopsida; Solanales; Solanaceae
Description: long non-coding RNA (NTAB_LNC006558)
Source: RNAcentral
CUCUCUCCCUCUCUUUGAAGACCCGAUUUUAACCCCUAUCCGACCCGUUUCUCUGCAACAUCACCCGGUCUCCGUUACAUGAUGCCCUAGUUCUUGGGGGCAUCAUCAUCUGUACAGUUCCUUUUGAUUUCAACAUUUUGGGACCAUUCCAUUUUGGGGCCCAUUUCGUUGAUUCUUCAAUAUCAGAAACAAUAGCUGGGCGCCUCUACUACUGAAAGUCUUUGAAAUUUUCCGGACCCUAAUUCGUUAUGCCCAAUUGUUAAAGCUCCGAUUUUUUGGUAAAAGAGUUGAUUGGGAUGAAACGGGUUCAAAUGAAGCAAAGUGGGUAUUGAAUAUUCAUAUAGUUGACCCGAAUUAGCUUUAAAUGGAUCCCUCUUUGUUGAUUUUAACGUUGGGUUUCUGUCUUUGUUUCCUUAUUCUUGCCGUACAAUCAAGUCCUCCGCCUCCUCCUCCACCGUCUCACCAAUCUCCACCGCCGCCGCCGCCUUCUCCUUUAUCACCACGGCCUCCUCCACCACCCCACCAAAGUCGCCGUCCUCCACCACCUCCAAAAAAGACUACCUCCGACAGUAAAAACUCUAACCACGGUAAAAACCACCACCAUAAAUCUAACGGGAAAUUGCCUCCACCUAUAGGGCAAAAAAAGUUAAAUUUGGGGAAGAAAUUGGGGUUAAUGUUUGCGGGUGUUGCUGUGAUAUUGCAAGUGUGUGUGCUGGCGUUCUUGAUAAUCAAGAGAAGGCAGUUGUUAAAGGCUCAUAGUAGUAGAUUUUGAAGGGAUAUUUGUAUAUGAUGUGUAUAUCAGCUCCCAUUCUCUUUUAGUAUAUGAUUCUCUUUUGGCGGCGGAGCAUGUUAAUUGCAGUUAGCCUUAUUGAUUCCGAUUUUUAACAUGGCAUUAAACGGAGUAAAAGGAUUAAGGAUUCAGCUGAAAUGUUGGUUUCUGCAUUUGCAUUGGUCUGCUC